CAAAGUUAAUAAGGGCGCACGGUGGAUGCCUUGGCACUAAGAGCCGAUGAAGGACGUGACUAACGACGAUAUUCUAGGGGGAGCAGUAAGUACGCAUUGAUCCCUAGGUCUCCGAAUGGGGAAACCCAGCUGCUACUAGCAGUUAUUCAUGAGUGAAUACAUAGCUCAUGUAAAGGUAACGCAGAGAACUGAAACAUCUAAGUACCUGCAGGAAGAGAAAGUAAAAACGAUUUCGUAAGUAGCGGCGAGCGAACGCGAAGAAGGGCAAACCAAGAAGCUUGCUUCUUGGGGUUGUAGGACUGCAACGUGGACUUAAGCAUUAUAGUCGAAUAACCUGGGAAGGUUAAUCAAAGAGGGUAAUAAUCCCGUAGACGAAAUAGCGCUUAUACCUAGCAGUAUCCUGAGUAGGGCUGGACACGCGAAAUCCAGUUUGAAUCCGGGAGGACCAUCUCCCAACCCUAAAUACUCCUUAGUGACCGAUAGUGAACCAGUACCGUGAGGGAAAGGUGAAAAGAACCCCGAGAGGGGAGUGAAAUAGCACCUGAAACCGUGUGCCUACAAGAAGUUCGAGCCCGUUAAUGGGUGAGAGCGUGCCUUUUGUAGAAUGAACCGGCGAGUUACGUUAUGAUGCGAGGUUAAGUUGAAGAGACGGAGCCGUAGGGAAACCGAGUCUGAAUAGGGCGACUUAGUAUCAUGAUGUAGACCCGAAACCUAGUGACCUAUCCAUGAGCAGGGUGAAGGUGUGGUAAGACGCACUGGAGGCCCGAACCAGGACACGUUGAAAAGUGUUUGGAUGACUUGUGGAUAGCGGAGAAAUUCCAAACGAACUGGGAGAUAGCUGGUUCUCUCCGAAAUAGCUUUAGGGCUAGCGUCGAAAUGUAAGUGUAUUGGAGGUAGAGCACUGUUUGGGUGAGGGGUCCGUCUAGGAUUACCAAUCUCAGAUAAACUCCGAAUGCUAAUACACAUGUUCGGCAGUCAGACUGCGAGUGCUAAGAUCCGUAGUCGAAAGGGAAACAGCCCAGACCAACAGCUAAGGUCCCAAAAUAUAUGUUAAGUGGAAAAGGAUGUGGGGUUGCACAGACAACUAGGAUGUUAGCUCAGAAGCAGCUAUCAUUCAAAGAGUGCGUAAUAGCUCACUAGUCGAGUGACCCUGCGCCGAAAAUGUACCGGGGCUAAACAUAUUACCGAAGCUUUGGAUUGAUAUUUUAUCAAUGGUAGGAGAGCGUUCUUAACCGCGAUGAAGGUAUACCGUGAGGAGUGCUGGAGCGUUAAGAAGUGAGAAUGCCGGUAUGAGUAGCGCAAGAUAAGUGAGAAUCUUAUCCACCGUAAGACUAAGGUUUCCAGGGGAAGGCUCGUCCGCCCUGGGUUAGUCGGGACCUAAGGCGAGGCCGAAAGGCGUAGUCGAUGGACAACUGGUUGAUAUUCCAGUACUAGAUAUGAUCGUGAUGGAGGGACGCAGUAGGCUAAGAGAUGCCAGUUAAUGGAUUCUGGUCUAAGCAGUGAGGUGUGAGAUGUGUCAAAUGCAUUUCUCUUUAACAUUGAGCUGUGAUGGGGAAGCAACUACGGUUGCGAACUCUCUGAUGUCACACUGCCAAGAAAAGCUUCUAGCGUAAAGUCAUAUCUACCCGUACCGCAAACCGACACAGGUAGUCGAGGCGAGUAGCCUCAGGUGAUCGAGAGAACUCUCGUUAAGGAACUCGGCAAAAUAGCCCCGUAACUUCGGGAGAAGGGGUGCUGGUGUAAAAGCCAGCCGCAGUGAAUAGGCCCAAGCAACUGUUUAUCAAAAACACAGCUCUCUGCUAAACCGCAAGGUGAUGUAUAGGGGGUGACGCCUGCCCGGUGCUGGAAGGUUAAGAGGAGUGCUUAGACGUAAGUCGAAGGUAUGAAUUGAAGCCCCAGUAAACGGCGGCCGUAACUAUAACGGUCCUAAGGUAGCGAAAUUCCUUGUCGGGUAAGUUCCGACCCGCACGAAAGGCGUAAUGAUUUGGGCACUGUCUCAACGAGAGACUCGGUGAAAUUUUAGUACCUGUGAAGAUGCAGGUUACCCGCGACAGGACGGAAAGACCCCAUGGAGCUUUACUGUAGUUUGAUAUUGAGUACCUGUAAGUCAUGUACAGGAUAGGUAGGAGCCAUUGAAAUAGGGACGCUAGUUUC
RNAcentral lists this ribosomal RNA (2154 nucleotides) under ant fungus garden metagenome. Its description in RNAcentral is "bacterial LSU rRNA". It matches the Rfam family "Bacterial large subunit ribosomal RNA", at positions 1 to 2178 of the family's 2925-position model. The record is from RNAcentral.